GACGAACGCUGGCGGCGUGCCUAAUACAUGCAAGUAGAACGCUGAAGGAGGAGCUUGCUCUUCUGGAUGAGUUGCGAACGGGUGAGUAACGCGUAGGUAACCUGCCUGGUAGCGGGGGAUAACUAUUGGAAACGAUAGCUAAUACCGCAUAACAUUGACUAUUGCAUGAUAGUCAAUUGAAAGGUGCAAAUGCACCACUACCAGAUGGACCUGCGUUGUAUUAGCUAGUUGGUGGGGUAACGGCUCACCAAGGCGACGAUACAUAGCCGACCUGAGAGGGUGAUCGGCCACACUGGGACUGAGACACGGCCCAGACUCCUACGGGAGGCAGCAGUAGGGAAUCUUCGGCAAUGGACGGAAGUCUGACCGAGCAACGCCGCGUGAGUGAAGAAGGUUUUCGGAUCGUAAAGCUCUGUUGUAAGAGAAGAACGAGUGUGAGAGUGGAAAGUUCACACUGUGACGUAUCUACCAGAAAGGACGCA
Molecule: ribosomal RNA, 482 nt
Filed under: Streptococcus cristatus
Lineage: Bacteria; Bacillati; Bacillota; Bacilli; Lactobacillales; Streptococcaceae
Description: bacterial SSU rRNA
Rfam family: Bacterial small subunit ribosomal RNA
Source: RNAcentral